RNAcentral lists this ribosomal RNA (828 nucleotides) under uncultured bacterium. RNAcentral's name for it is "bacterial SSU rRNA". It matches the Rfam family "Bacterial small subunit ribosomal RNA", at positions 34 to 906 of the family's 1533-position model. The record is from RNAcentral.
CGCUGGCGGUCUGCUUAACACAUGCAAGUCGAACGGGAAUCUUCGGAUUCUAGUGGCGGACGGGUGAGUAACGCGUGAGAAUCUGGCCUCAGGAUGGGGACAACAGCUGGAAACGGCUGCUAAUACCCAAUGUGCCGAGAGGUGAAACUUAUAUGGCCUGAGGAUGAGCUCGCGUCUGAUUAGCUAGUUGGUGGGGUAAGAGCCCACCAAGGCGACGAUCAGUAGCUGGUCUGAGAGGAUGAUCAGCCACACUGGGACUGAGACACGGCCCAGACUCCUACGGGAGGCAGCAGUGGGGAAUUUUCCGCAAUGGGCGAAAGCCUGACGGAGCAAGACCGCGUGGGGGAAGAAGGUUUGUGGAUUGUAAACCCCUUUUGAUUGGGAAGAUGAUGACGGUACCAAUCGAAUCAGCCUCGGCUAACUCCGUGCCAGCAGCCGCGGUAAUACGGAGGAGGCAAGCGUUAUCCGGAAUUAUUGGGCGUAAAGCGUCCGUAGGUGGUGAUUCAAGUCUUUUGUCAAAGCGUGGAGCUUAACUCCAUACGGGCAGGAGAAACUGGGUUGCUAGAGUGCGAUAGGGGCAAGGGGAAUUCCCAGUGUAGCGGUGAAAUGCGUAGAUAUUGGGAAGAACACCGGUGGCGAAAGCGCCUUGCUGGGUCUGCACUGACACUGAGGGACGAAAGCUAGGGGAGCGAAAGGGAUUAGAUACCCCUGUAGUCCUAGCUGUAAACGAUGGGUACUAGGCGUUGUCCGUAUCGACCCGGGCAGUGCCGUAGCUAACGCGUUAAGUACCCCGCCUGGGGAGUACGCUCGCAAGAGUGAAACUCAAAG